This 84-nucleotide ribosomal RNA is filed under the name Vibrio parahaemolyticus. RNAcentral describes it as "partial 16S ribosomal RNA". It matches the Rfam family "Bacterial small subunit ribosomal RNA", at positions 1 to 81 of the family's 1533-position model. Lineage: Bacteria; Pseudomonadati; Pseudomonadota; Gammaproteobacteria; Vibrionales; Vibrionaceae. The record is from RNAcentral.
CUUAAAUUGAAGAGUUUGAUCAUGGCUCAGAUUGAACGCUGGCGGCAGGCCUAACACAUGCAAGUCGAGCGGAAACGAGUUGUC